RNAcentral lists this ribosomal RNA (570 nucleotides) under uncultured Ascomycota. Its description in RNAcentral is "eukaryotic LSU rRNA". The stretch from base 203 to 356 matches the Rfam family "5.8S ribosomal RNA". The record is from RNAcentral. Lineage: Eukaryota; Fungi; Ascomycota.
CUUGGUCAUUUAGAGGAAGUAAAAGUCGUAACAAGGUCUCCGUUGGUGAACCUGCGGAGGGAUCAUUACAGAGUUGCAAAACUCCCAACCCUUUGUGAACGAACCUACCAGUUGCCUCGGCGGCGAGCCUUUCAGGCGGACCGCCGAAGGAAUACAAACUCUUUGCAUCAUAGUAUCUCUGAUUACUUAUUCAAUAAGUUAAAACUUUCAACAACGGAUCUCUUGGUUCUGGCAUCGAUGAAGAACGCAGCGAAAUGCGAUAAGUAAUGUGAAUUGCAGAAUUCAGUGAAUCAUCGAAUCUUUGAACGCACAUUGCGCCCGCUAGUAUUCUGGCGGGCAUGCCUGUUCGAGCGUCAUUUCAACCAUCAAGCCCUAGGCUUGUGUUGGAGCCCUGCGGCUGCCGCAGCCUCCUAAAAACAGUGGCGGGCUCGCUAUUACACCGAGUGCAGUAGUUUACUCUUCGCUCAGGGCGUGUGGCGGGUGCUGGCCGUGAAACCCCCUACUUCUUAAGGUUGACCUCGGAUCAGGUAGGAAUAGCCAGCUGACUUAAGCAUAUCAAUAAGCGGAGGA